GUGCCAGCCGCCGCGGUAAUACGGAGGGUGCAAGCGUUGUCCGGAAUCAUUGGGUGUAAAGGGUGCGUAGGCGGAAGCCUAAGUCGGGGGUGAAAUCCUGCCGCUCAACGGCAGAAUGGCCUUCGAUACUGGGUUUCUUGAGUCCGGAAGAGGUUGGUGGAAUUCGUGGUGUAGCGGUGAAAUGCAUAGAUAUCACGAAGAACACCGGUGGCGAAGGCGGCCAACUGGUCCGGUACUGACGCUGAGGCACGAGAGCGUGGGGAGCGAACAGGAUUAGAUACCCUAGUAGUCC
Molecule: ribosomal RNA, 292 nt
Filed under: uncultured bacterium
Lineage: Bacteria
Description: partial 16S ribosomal RNA
Rfam family: Bacterial small subunit ribosomal RNA
Source: RNAcentral